This 759-nucleotide ribosomal RNA is filed under the name uncultured bacterium. Its description in RNAcentral is "bacterial SSU rRNA". It matches the Rfam family "Bacterial small subunit ribosomal RNA", at positions 8 to 796 of the family's 1533-position model. The record is from RNAcentral.
AGAGUUUGAUCAUGGCUCAGCCUGAACGCUGGCGGCGUGGCUAAGACAUGCAAGUCGCACGGGGUAGCAAUACCCAGUGGCGAACGGGAGAGUAAUGAAUCGCUAAUGUACCCCGGACUCUGGGAUAGCUACCCGAAAGGGUAGGUAAUACCAGAUGACAUAACUUACAGGCAUCUGUGAGUUCUCAAAGGUCCGCCGGUCUGGGAGCAGGCGAUUUCGUAUCAGCUAGUUGGUGAGGUAACGGCUCACCAAGGCGACGACGCGUAGCCGGACUGAGAGGUUGGCCGGCCUCAUUGGGACUGAGACACUGCCCAGACUCCUACGGGGGGCUGCAGUAACGAAUCUUCCGCAAUGCACGAAAGUGUGACGGAGCGACGCCGCGUGUGGGACGAAGCCCUUCGGGGUGUAAACCACUGUCAGGGGUUACCAAGUUCUGAGGAGCCCCAGAGGAAGGCACGGCUAACUCUGUGCCAGCAGCCGCGGUAAGACAGAGGUGCCAAGCGUUAGGCGGAAUCACUGGGCUUAAAGCGUGUGUAGGCGGAUUGGUAAGUACCUUGUGAAAUCCCACAGCUCAACUGUGGAACUGCUUGGUAUACUGCCUAUCUUGAGCCACUUAGGGGCUGUCGGAACAAAUGGUGGAGCGGUGAAAUGCGUAGAUAUCAUUUGGAACGCCAACGGUGAAAACAGACAGCUGGGAGUGUGCUGACGCUGAGACACGAAAGCCAGGGGAGCGAACGGGAUUAGAUACCCNNGUAGUCC